Molecule: non-coding RNA, 570 nt
Organism: Camellia sinensis
Lineage: Eukaryota; Viridiplantae; Streptophyta; Magnoliopsida; Ericales; Theaceae
Source: RefSeq, a predicted model, not a curated record
UUGCCCAAUAAAUAAAUAAAACGUUGGCGAAUGGAUGAACAGCAGUUGUUCAAAAAAAAAAAUAGAUGAACUGCAGAACCAAAAAAGAGUGACGGCAGAACUAACGAAGAGAGAGGAACGACCACUGGCGUCCUCCGCCCUCUGACGCCGUCCUUCACCGGCGUUGCCGAAGAGAGAGAAGACGAAAGAGGAACAAGGCGAAGAGAGAGACGGCCAUAGCCAUCUGCCGGAGCUCACGCACGCCCUCGAUUGAACCAGAUACGUGAGUGGGAGAUAGAGUUGGAAAAAGAUAGAAAAAGAGAAUGAAAGCAAUAUAGUGGCUGGAGGAGGAAAGAAAGAAGAAGAGGAAAAAAGUGACGGUGGUGAACAGAACAGCACAAAGCAUGGCAGUUGUAUGGCAUAAAUGGUUAAGGAAGAGCAUCCUAUCACCAUUUAGCUCAAGGGCAUUCAGUACCUUGAAGAGUAACCCCAGUCAACAAAUCAUAAAGUCUCCUCCUCUUCUUUCCCAUGACGUACCUGAUGUAUGGACUUCAAACUCCAUGCAUUGUGAUCCUCCAUCUAUAGGAGAAU